CACGACUUGUAAUUGCGAUGGGGGGACGGAGAAGGCUAGGUGGGCCAGGCGACGGUUGUCCUGGUGAAAGUGCGUAGGUGGUGUUUCUAGGCAAAUCCGGAGACACAACACUGAGACACGAGACGAACGCACUACGGUGCGGAAGCCAUUGAUGCCCUGCUUCCAGGAAAAGCCUCUAAGCUUCAGAUUACAAGUCAUCGUACCCCAAACCGACACAGGUGGUCGGGUAGAGAAUACCAAGGCGCUUGAGAGAACUCGGGUGAAGGAA
This 268-nucleotide ribosomal RNA is filed under the name Aeromonas rivipollensis. RNAcentral's name for it is "partial 23S ribosomal RNA". It matches the Rfam family "Bacterial large subunit ribosomal RNA", at positions 1442 to 1712 of the family's 2925-position model. Lineage: Bacteria; Pseudomonadati; Pseudomonadota; Gammaproteobacteria; Aeromonadales; Aeromonadaceae. The record is from RNAcentral.